Molecule: ribosomal RNA, 496 nt
Filed under: uncultured bacterium
Lineage: Bacteria
Description: partial 16S ribosomal RNA
Rfam family: Bacterial small subunit ribosomal RNA
Source: RNAcentral
GAUGAACGCUGGCGGCGUGCCUAAUACAUGCAAGUCGAGCGAACAGAUGAGGAGCUUGCUCCUCUGACGUUAGCGGCGGACGGGUGAGUAACACGUGGAUAACCUACCUAUAAGACUGGGAUAACUUCGGGAAACCGGAGCUAAUACCGGAUAAUAUAUUGAACCGCAUGGUUCAAUAGUGAAAGACGGUUUUGCUGUCACUUAUAGAUGGAUCCGCGCCGCAUUAGCUAGUUGGUAAGGUAACGGCUUACCAAGGCAACGAUGCGUAGCCGACCUGAGAGGGGGCUGGCCCACACGGAACGUGGAACGGGGCACAACCCCACAGGGGGGGGAGAGGGGGGAAAUCUUCCGAAAGGGGCGAAACCCUCAGGGGAAAGCCGCGGGGGAGGAGUAAGUGUUUUGGGAUUAAAAAACUUUUUUUAUGGGAAAAAAAGAAUGGGAAGGGAAAUAUCCACCUUUGAACGUAACCUACCAGAAAGCCACGGGCAAACAAGUG